This 1199-nucleotide ribosomal RNA is filed under the name Candidatus Phytoplasma solani. RNAcentral describes it as "bacterial SSU rRNA". It matches the Rfam family "Bacterial small subunit ribosomal RNA", at positions 173 to 1374 of the family's 1533-position model. Lineage: Bacteria; Bacillati; Mycoplasmatota; Mollicutes; Acholeplasmatales; Acholeplasmataceae. The record is from RNAcentral.
AUAGGAGAUAAGAAGGCAUCUUUUUAUUUUUAAAAGACCUAGCAAUAGGUAUGCUUAGGGAAGAGCUUGCGUCACAUUAGUUAGUUGGUGGGGUAAUGGCCUACCAAGACGAUGAUGUGUAGCCGGGCUGAGAGGUCGAACGGCCACAUUGGGACUGAGACACGGCCCAAACUCCUACGGGAGGCAGCAGUAAGGAAUUUUCGGCAAUGGAGGAAACUCUGACCGAGCAAUGCCGCGUGAACGAUGAAGUAUUUCGGUACGUAAAGUUCUUUUAUUAGGGAAGAAAAGAUGGUGGAAAAACCAUUAUGACGGUACCUAAUGAAUAAGCCCCGGCUAACUAUGUGCCAGCAGCCGCGGUAAUACAUAGGGGGCAAGCGUUAUCCGGAAUUAUUGGGCGUAAAGGGUGCGUAGGCGGUUAAAUAAGUUUAUGGUCUAAGUGCAACGCUCAACGUUGUGAUGCUAUAAAAACUGUUUAGCUAGAGUUGGAUAGAGGCAAGUGGAAUUCCGUGUGUAGUGGUAAAAUGCGUAAAUAUACGGAGGAACACCAGAAGCGAAGGCGGCUUGCUGGGUCUUAACUGACGCUGAGGCACGAAAGCGUGGGGAGCAAACAGGAUUAGAUACCCUGGUAGUCCACGCCCUAAACGAUGAGUACUAAACGUUGGAUAAAACCAGUGUUGAAGUUAACACAUUAAGUACUCCGCCUGAGUAGUACGUACGCAAGUAUGAAACUUAAAGGAAUUGACGGGACUCCGCACAAGCGGUGGAUCAUGUUGUUUAAUUCGAAGGUACCCGAAAAACCUCACCAGGUCUUGACAUGCUUUUGCAAAGCUGUAGAAAUACAGUGGAGGUUAUCAGAAGCACAGGUGGUGCAUGGUUGUCGUCAGCUCGUGUCGUGAGAUGUUGGGUUAAGUCCCGCAACGAGCGCAACCCUUGUUGUUAAUUGCCAUCAUUAAGUUGGGGACUUUAGCAAGACUGCCAAUGAUAAAUUGGAGGAAGGUGGGGACGACGUCAAAUCAUCAUGCCCCUUAUGACCUGGGCUACAAAUGUGAUACAAUGGCUGUUACAAAGGGUAGCUAAAGCGUAAGCUUCUGGCGAAUCUCAAAAAAGCAGUCUCAGUUCGGAUUGAAGUCUGCAACUCGACUUCAUGAAGUUGGAAUCGCUAGUAAUCGCGAAUCAGCAUGUCGCGGUGAAUACGUUCU